Long non-coding RNA from Xenopus laevis (African clawed frog), 1832 nucleotides. RefSeq lists it as uncharacterized. Lineage: Eukaryota; Metazoa; Chordata; Amphibia; Anura; Pipidae. The record is from RefSeq and is a predicted model, not a curated record. The transcript is spliced from 4 exons.
UAGGAAAACUGGGAAACUGUAUUGGCUCGAGUAUAAGCCUAUACUAUAUACUUGCUAUAUAAGUGAAACAGAAAGUUAUCAAAGAUCGGUGCGCUCACGAUUGAAAAAGCAAAUUGCCAGUACCUAAAACGAAAUAUAGUGUAGCUUGCUUCUUUCCAGGGGUUAAUGAAAAAUCGGAAAUGUAUUAAACACAAACAUAUAUAUUCAGAAAUAAGUAUAGGAGUCAUUCUUUUAAAAGCUCACAUAUACUUCCCCCUUCAACACAGCUCACCAUUUCUGACUGCUUUAUAGUCUUCUGUGUUGUGUCCCAGCAUAGCUCUCUACUUUGUCUCGUUUCCAGCCCUCUCCUUCUGCAGCAUGGGUCAGGUACUUCCACAGCAGAGCUCACUUCUGCCUGCACAGUCACCUUUUUCAGCCCCUCCUUCUCCAGUCUCAGUUCAGAGAUGGCCACUUUUGCCUGCAGGGUCACGUUUUCCUUUCACACAGCACAGCUACCCGCCCACUUCUCCUUCUAACCGGAUCUCAGGACAGGCAUGCAGGGAGGAUUUUGAAGUUUGAGGAGCCUUAAAUCAUGGGGGUAAGGGCUUUUUGACCUAAAAACCUAGCGUUUUGGUAGGGGCAAGCCUUAAAAAACAAAUGACAUGCUGACUCGAGUAUAAGCCGAGGUAGACUUUUUCAGCACAUUUUGAGUGCUGAAAAACUCGGCUUAUACUCGAGAAUAUACGGUAAUUGAAAAGGACUCCACUGUAAUUAUGACCUGCAAUUUGUUUUUAACUAAUAGGUGAUACAUGAGAUUUUUGAGAAUUCCUAGAAUAAAGUGGAAUAGAAUUUUUUUUAGUAUGUUUUGAUAAAUUGUUAGUGAGCACAAUGGAACUGGUGUAAGAAAUAAGCCUCACAAGGAAGAUUUUAUAUGUAUAUAAUAUUUUAUGUGUGAAUAUAAUGUCAAAUGUUAAUGCCAAAGAGACAGGUAAAAGGACACAUGCUGGGACAGGGAGUUGCCAAAACAGUUAUCUGAUAACACUGCAGUCUCUGGGAUCAAAAGAAUAGUCAUAGACAAAGACAGACCCAGGAAAGAGCCUGAGGCGUCAGGGUAUUCAAGAUAAACAGUUGGCCCUGAGGUGGUGAUAUGUGACUUAACAGUUUCGUCAUAAUGUGUAAAUGAAGGCUAACUACAAAUUCUUGCAAAGAGCCUGUCGUAAAAAACCUGUUGUGAGAUCAAGCGAUUACAGGAUCUCAAAAGCCUUCCUUUACAUAUGGUGCGGGAAAGUUAUGUCAUCUAACAAGAAACAAGAGUCCAUCUGAGUUUCUGUUUAGCCAGUUGUCUUGUGGGGGUGAGACUCUAAAAACAGUAUAAAAGAUGUGUCCAAAGUACAUUCUGGAGUUCUGUUUUGGGGAACAGACCUCUGUGUACAGGGGUCCACCUCUGAACAGAAACUCUGCAGGCCCAGAGACUGACGUGCUGUCCAAGGACUGGAUGAAACAUGCACUGCUUUUAAGAUUUUUUAUUGAGCAGAUUGGGACACCUACUGAUAACAAGGUUUUCAAAAGGCUUUAUCCUAGUCACAUGGGUAAUAAUACAUGCUGGUGAUUGGCUUCCUCUCUAAUUUCACUUGAUUCUGAUCUGGUGUAUGUGAUUGGAUGGAAUAUAAUUCUCCUGCGCAGAGGAGAGCAGUAUUUUCACUUUUCAAGCACAUUACAGAAAGCAAAAGAAUCAGAACUGUUAGAGUCCUUGUUUUAUACAUAAGUCUCUCAAUGUAACUAUAGCAAGGAUUCAAAUUACAUGUCAACAAUAAUAUUGAAAUUAACAAAAAUAGAAUAAAAUUUAAACCGUC